Molecule: ribosomal RNA, 834 nt
Filed under: uncultured soil archaeon
Lineage: Archaea
Description: bacterial SSU rRNA
Rfam family: Archaeal small subunit ribosomal RNA
Source: RNAcentral
AGGUCACUGCUAUCGGUGUUCGAUUAAGCCAUGCGAGUCGUGAGGGGUAAAGCCCUCGGCGGAGUGCUCAGUAACACGUGGACAACCUACCCAAGAGUCAGGGAUAACCCCGGGAAACUGGGGAUAAUACCUGAUAGGCCAUGACAUCUGGAAUCGAGUUGUGGUUUAAACGUAAGGCUCUUGGAUGGGUCUGCGGCGGAUUAGGUUGUUGCCGGUGUAACGUACCAGCAAGCCUGUAAUCCGUACGGGUUGUGGGAGCAAGAGCCCGGAGAUGGAUUCUGAGACACGAAUCCAGGCCCUACGGGGCGCAGCAGGCGCGAAAACUCUACAAUGCAGGCAACUGCGAUAGGGGAACAUCGAGUGGCAUCCACCAUGGACGUCUGUCCAAUCGUCUAAAAAACGAUUGUCAGCAAGGGCCGGGCAAGACCGGUGCCAGCCGCCGCGGUAAUACCGGCGGCUCGAGUGGUGGCCGAUAUUAUUGAGUCUAAAGGGUCCGUAGCCGGCUUUGCAAGUCCUAUGGGAAAUCCAGCGGCUUAACCGUUGGGCUUUCAUGGGAUACUACAUUGCUUGGGACUGGGAGAGGUAGGAGGUACUCAGGGGGUAGGGGUGAAAUCCUGUAAUCCUUUGGGGACCACCGGUGGCGAAGGCGUCCUACCAGAACAGGUCCGACGGUGAGGGACGAAAGCUAGGGGCACGAACCGGAUUAGAUACCCGGGUAGUCCUAGCCGUAAACGAUGCUCGCUAGGUGUCACGGCAGUCGUGAAUUGUCGUGGUGCCGUAGGGAAGCCGUGAAGCGAGCCACUUGGGAAGUACGACCGCAAGGUUGAAACUUAA